UUAAGUGACUAAGCGUACACGGUGGAUGCCUUGGCAGUCAGAGGCGAUGAAAGACGUAGUAACUUGCGAUAAGCCCAGAUUAGGUAGUAACAACCAUUUGAGUCUGGGAUUUCUGAAUGGGGAAACCCACGUGCAUAAGCACGUAUCCUUACCUGAAUACAUAGGGUAAGGAGGCGAACCGGGGGAACUGAAACAUCUAAGUACCCCGAGGAAAAGAAAUCAACCGAGAUUCCGAAAGUAGCGGCGAGCGAAAUUGGACUAGCCCUUAAGCUUUACACGCGUUAGACGAACGGUCUGGAAAGUCCGACGAUACAGGGUGAUAGUCCCGUAGUUGACGACGUGUGUUCAGUGAAAUCGAGUAGGGCGGGACACGUGAUAUCCUGUCUGAAUAUGGGGGGACCAUCCUCCAAGGCUAAAUACUACUGACUGACCGAUAGUGAACCAGUACCGUGAGGGAAAGGCGAAAAGAACCCCUGUGAGGGGAGUGAAAUAGAACCUGAAACCGUGUACGUACAAGCAGUAGGAGCAGGCUUUGUCCUGUGACUGCGUACCUUUUGUAUAAUGGGUCAGCGACUUAUAUUCAGUGGCAAGGUUAACCAUCUAGGGGAGCCGUAGGGAAACCGAGUCUUAACUGGGCGUUCAGUCUCUGGAUAUAGACCCGAAACCAGGUGAUCUAGCCAUGGGCAGGUUGAAGGUUGAGUAACAUCAACUGGAGGACCGAACCGACUAAUGUUGAAAAAUUAGCGGAUGACUUGUGGCUAGGGGUGAAAGGCCAAUCAAACCUGGAGAUAGCUGGUUCUCCCCGAAAGCUAUUUAGGUAGCGCCUCGGACGAAUACUACUGGGGGUAGAGCACUGUUAAGGCUAGGGGGUCAUCCCGACUUACCAACCCUUUGCAAACUCCGAAUACCAGUAAGUACUAUCCGGGAGACACACGGCGGGUGCUAACGUCCGUCGUGGAGAGGGAAACAACCCAGACCGCCAGCUAAGGUCCCAAAUUACUACUAAGUGGGAAACGAUGUGGGAAGGCUCAGACAGCCAGGAUGUUGGCUUAGAAGCAGCCAUCAUUUAAAGAAAGCGUAAUAGCUCACUGGUCGAGUCGGCCUGCGCGGAAGAUGUAACGGGGCUAAGUAGUAAACCGAAGCUGCGGCAAUAUACUUUUGUAUAUUGGGUAGGGGAGCGUUCUGUAAGCGGUUGAAGGUGUGUGGUAACGCAUGCUGGACGUAUCAGAAGUGCGAAUGCUGACAUGAGUAACGAUAAAGGGGGUGAAAAACCUCCUCGCCGGAAGACCAAGGGUUCCUGUCCAACGUUAAUCGGGGCAGGGUAAGUCGACCCCUAAGGCGAGGCCGAAAGGCGUAGUCGAUGGGAAACGGGUUAAUAUUCCCGUACUUCUUACAAUUGCGAUGGGGGGACGGAGAAGGCUAGGUGGGCCUGGCGACGGUUGUCCAGGUUCAAGUGCGUAGGCUUAAGAGUUAGGUAAAUCCGGCUCUUUUUAAGGCUGAGACACGACGUCGAGCAUCUACGGAUGUGAAGUCAUUGAUGCCAUGCUUCCAGGAAAAGCCUCUAAGCUUCAGAUUGUAAGGAAUCGUACCCCAAACCGACACAGGUGGUCGGGUAGAGAAUACCAAGGCGCUUGAGAGAACUCGGGUGAAGGAACUAGGCAAAAUGGUACCGUAACUUCGGGAGAAGGUACGCUCUUGAUGGUGAAGUCCCUUGCGGAUGGAGCUGACGAGAGUCGCAGAUACCAGGUGGCUGCAACUGUUUAUUAAAAACACAGCACUGUGCAAAAUCGUAAGAUGACGUAUACGGUGUGACGCCUGCCCGGUGCCGGAAGGUUAAUUGAUGGGGUUAGACUUCGGUCGAAGCUCUUGAUCGAAGCCCCGGUAAACGGCGGCCGUAACUAUAACGGUCCUAAGGUAGCGAAAUUCCUUGUCGGGUAAGUUCCGACCUGCACGAAUGGCGUAAUGAUGGCCACGCUGUCUCCACCCGAGACUCAGUGAAAUUGAAAUCGCUGUGAAGAUGCAGUGUACCCGCGGCUAGACGGAAAGACCCCGUGAACCUUUACUACAGCUUGGCACUGAACAUUGACCCUACAUGUGUAGGAUAGGUGGGAGGCUUUGAAGCACGUACGCCAGUAUGUGUGGAGCCGUCCUUGAAAUACCACCCUUGUAGUGUUGAUGUUCUAACGUCGACCCCUUAUCGGGGUUGCGGACAGUGCCUGGUGGGUAGUUUGACUGGGGCGGUCUCCUCCCAAAGAGUAACGGAGGAGCACGAAGGUGGGCUAAUCACGGUUGGACAUCGUGAGGUUAGUGCAAUGGCAUAAGCCCGCUUGACUGCGAGAAUGACAAUUCGAGCAGGUGCGAAAGCAGGUCAUAGUGAUCCGGUGGUUCUGAAUGGAAGGGCCAUCGCUCAACGGAUAAAAGGUACUCCGGGGAUAACAGGCUGAUACCGCCCAAGAGUUCAUAUCGACGGCGGUGUUUGGCACCUCGAUGUCGGCUCAUCACAUCCUGGGGCUGAAGUCGGUCCCAAGGGUAUGGCUGUUCGCCAUUUAAAGUGGUACGCGAGCUGGGUUUAGAACGUCGUGAGACAGUUCGGUCCCUAUCUGCCGUGGGCGUUGGAAGAUUGAAGGGGGCUGCUCCUAGUACGAGAGGACCGGAGUGGACGAACCUCUGGUGUUCGGGUUGUGUCGCCAGACGCAUUGCCCGGUAGCUAAGUUCGGAAUCGAUAACCGCUGAAAGCAUCUAAGCGGGAAGCGAGCCCUGAGAUGAGUCUUCCCUGAUACUUUAAGUAUCCUAAAGGGUUGUCGGAGACUACGACGUUGAUAGGUCAGGUGUGUAAGUGCUGUGAGGCAUUGAGCUAACUGAUACUAAUUGCCCGUGAGGCUUAACCA
This 2888-nucleotide ribosomal RNA is filed under the name Thermocladium modestius. Its description in RNAcentral is "23S ribosomal RNA". It matches the Rfam family "Bacterial large subunit ribosomal RNA". Lineage: Archaea; Thermoproteati; Thermoproteota; Thermoprotei; Thermoproteales; Thermoproteaceae. The record is from RNAcentral.